AUGGUCAUGUUUUGGUGCUGCAUACAAGAAGUUACCUGCUCUGAGUUUUAUUUCAUGAAGCAUACUUCAAUCUUUGAUACAAGUGAAGAUGGUGUUAUUGUCAGACAUUAUUGGUUAUUGCUGAAGGAUUACAUUAAUCAUUUUUCACCAGGAUUGUUGUGUCAUCCGAGCAUUUUACUCUGUACGGGUAUGCCUCUUGGAAUCUCCCAAAUAAAAUUCCUACCUAUGCUCAUUUCAAUGGCGAUUUAUAGUUUAUACUAUGUAAUUCCUUCAAGUUUCUUUCAUAGAUUCAUAUUUUAUUAUGAUUAA
Molecule: ribosomal RNA, 309 nt
Filed under: Triticum aestivum (bread wheat)
Lineage: Eukaryota; Viridiplantae; Streptophyta; Magnoliopsida; Poales; Poaceae
Description: partial small subunit ribosomal RNA
Source: RNAcentral